UCGCAGCCUAUUAAGCCGACCAGCGUUUGUUGUAAUCAGCGAUUGGUGCGCAAAGGCUGCGGACAUCAAGCUCCCUGGCUGUGUAUGCGCUCCGUGUACCGUAUAGAGCGCUUAAAGGGGCCUCGGACACAUGU
Molecule: small nucleolar RNA, 134 nt
Organism: Spea bombifrons (plains spadefoot toad)
Lineage: Eukaryota; Metazoa; Chordata; Amphibia; Anura; Pelobatidae
Product: small nucleolar RNA SNORA70
Exons: 1
Source: RefSeq, a predicted model, not a curated record